UACGUAGGGGGCAAGCGUUGUCCGGAAUCAUUGGGCGUAAAGAGCGUGUAGGCGGCUUGGUAAGUCCGCUGUGAAAGUCCAGGGCUCAACCCUGGAAAGCCGGUGGAAACUGUCAAGCUCGAGUCCGGAAGAGGCGAGUGGAAUUCCUGGUGUAGCGGUGAAAUGCGCAGAUAUCAGGAGGAACACCGAUGGCGAAGGCAGGUCUCUGGGCCACUACUGACGCUGAGAAGCGAAAGCAUGGGGAGCGAACAGG
RNAcentral lists this ribosomal RNA (253 nucleotides) under uncultured bacterium. RNAcentral's name for it is "partial 16S ribosomal RNA". It matches the Rfam family "Bacterial small subunit ribosomal RNA", at positions 524 to 776 of the family's 1533-position model. The record is from RNAcentral.